This 1202-nucleotide long non-coding RNA is filed under the name Mus musculus (house mouse). RNAcentral describes it as "predicted gene 12610". The record is from RNAcentral. Lineage: Eukaryota; Metazoa; Chordata; Mammalia; Rodentia; Muridae.
CUUUCGCAGCCGGCCGGCAACGUCUCCUGCGCCGAUCGGCUUUCGCUCCGGUUAACUUUCGGGUCCCGAAACUUUCGUCUAUGCCUGACGCCCCUCGGCGAGGUUUCCCUUGCUCCGAGUCCAUCUAUAAAAAGAAGAAAAUAGGAAGAUCGGCGAGGCCAGCCAUGGGCCGGCCCGCCAAUCAGGACGCGCGCGGGCGUUUUGAACCCUUAGCGGUACGCUGCGCUCCUCCGGUUGGGAACAGCGCGCAGAGAAGAGCCGCUGCGUGUACCCGGGACCAGGGCCUGCACGCCGCGGCGGACCGGUGACAAGUCAGGUGGAGAAGCUCAAGUCUUGAACUCUGCUUGGUUUCCCAGGUACAGGCUAGACCCCACCCACGAUGAUCACUGAAUCACCAGGUGCUGAGGCCUCUUUCUGUUGUCAAGAGCCAGAGACAACUGAAAGAGCCAGAGACAAUUGAAAAGAAAGGUAACAUCACACACACAAAAGUAGAUGAUAAGAAUUUAAGAUCUCUGGACGUGUGCCUGUACUCACCUACUUGAGAGAUCUUGGAUGUGAGUCAUGGAAAUGAACCUGAACUGAGAGUUGCUUUCCAAAGACUAUCUCACCACUGGGAUUCAGGCUGAACAAAGGAGUUAGAUUCAAAACAGGGAUUCUCUGUAUAGCCCUGCUGUCCUGGAACUCAUGCUGCAGAUGAGGCUGACCCUUGAAGUGAGAGAGCUGCUUGCCCCUGCCUUCUUACUGCUGAGAUUAAAGGUCUGUGUAUCAUUUUUGAGAUAAACUCAGUGUAAACUAUAAGGCAAAGACAUGUUCGAAUUUAAUCUACAUAUAACACCCAGCAUGGAGAGAAUCAGAAACCAAGAGCAUGGUGUACUCAGUCUAACCCACAGGUUAUGGGCCAGAGCUUCAUAAUGAAAUAGUGAAAUGAGAAUGUAUGUUUUUUAUCAAGGAGUUCAUUGUCCUUUCUGGAGGCAGGGCUGACACAGCGACCUCCUCAUGUGGAAUCACCCGGAACCAUUUCUGUUCCAGCUCUUCUGUUUUUUGGCAAGUGCAUGUGAGUUUCUGGAUGACUUAUACUGAUUUUAGAUCAAGCAUGAGACUCAGAAUAGUUACUGGGUGACAUAAAAUGACAGAAACACCUUUGUACUGAGCGGAACUUCUGUGUUGGUGAAAUGAUAAAUAUAAAUGCAAACGAAAACUAA